AUCUCACUUGUACAGAGUAGGAAACUACGGCUUAGCAAGAUUUUUGUUCAAGGUCAUUUGGCUAAUAAAUGACAGUGCUAGAACUUUAAAUACCACAACCACCUGGUAAAAAGUGCUGUGGGUGUUGGUCUGGAAUACACCCAGAUAACCAGCCUCCCUGACUCCAAGGCCUGGGUCGUUAACCUCUUCACCAUAUUCAGUAGCUGGGUAAGUGAAGGAGGAAGGGAGGAUAUUGCUGACAGAAUAAACUAUAUAUAGAAUAGAAGAAUGAGGACUUCAGGCGUGGUUGGAGCCUGACAUUUCUUUUUCCUGUGUGGAUAUCAUGGUAUUUGUGGACAGGGAUUUGGCUGAAAAGUUUAGUUGAGGUAACAAUAAGGAGUACCUUGCCUAACGUGGACUUCCAUCAACAGGCCUCUGGUUGUCAGACAGGGACAUCCAUACCAGUGAGGAUCAUCAAUAUGAAAGGCGUCAUCAGUCUUAACCAGUUGGACAAGCUGUGAAACGUCUAGAUUCCAGAGCAACAGACUGUGAUCCAUUCCCAGCAACCCCUCCCUACCGUCUGCCACAAGCUCCCAUAAAGCAGGAAUCAGAGCUAGACUGGCUCAGCUUAGGUAAGAAGUGAGGCUUCAUGUGAAAAAGACUACACCUA
Molecule: long non-coding RNA, 649 nt
Organism: Macaca mulatta (Rhesus monkey)
Lineage: Eukaryota; Metazoa; Chordata; Mammalia; Primates; Cercopithecidae
Source: Ensembl